ACGAGUUAGGGCCUCUGGCCCGAACCUCCAACCCUUUGUAUCAUAACCUACGUUGCCUCGGCGGAGCAGCCCUGCCCCCGUACGGGACUGGCCCCCCGCAGGACCCACAAACCUCUGAAUUGUAUUGGACGUCUGAGUUUAAAAAGACUAAAUAAAUCA
RNAcentral lists this unclassified non-coding RNA (159 nucleotides) under soil metagenome. RNAcentral's name for it is "partial internal transcribed spacer 1". The record is from RNAcentral.